Non-coding RNA from Myotis davidii, 75 nucleotides. NCBI's taxonomy places the organism in Eukaryota, Metazoa, Chordata, Mammalia, Chiroptera, Vespertilionidae. The record is from Rfam.
GGCAGUUCUUGGGUGACAUACCCCGGAAUUGGGCUCCCUCCUCUUUGUUUCCAGGUACAUCACCCGAGAACCGCA